CCUGAUCCCACGCAUCUAUCCCCACACUCAUACAUGUGCCCUUGUCCGCUUAGCUGCGCUAUCUCCCCAAGGCCUAGACCUUUGUAAAAGCCUUCAGUAAGGGGUUUUAGCAACCUACUAAAUCUUUUAUAAGGAUUAAGAAAGGAAAGAGAUCCAUAACGGAAUAUGAUAUUAGUUUCUGCACUCUUGCCUCUGAGGUGGAUUGGACCAAUAGUGGUUUAGUAUAUGCAUUUAUGGAAGGUGUUAAUGAUAACCUACCGGAUGAGGUGGCAGCCAGGGACCUUCCAGAGGACCUUAUCGAUUAUCUUAUCGACAUCGAAAACCGGUUAAGUUAGAGAGCCCAACAGAGGAAUCGUGUUAGACGUCCUACAGUUAUAAUAACUCUUAGGGCCUCGGUUCUUCAUCUACACAUACUGAGCCCAUGCAACUAGCGGUGACCAAACUGGCUGAGCCGAAGAAUCAAUAUAGGAGAAAAGAGGGGCCCUGCUUAUAUUGUGGCCAAAAGGGGCAUCUUAGAUUGACUUAUCUGGUGCGUCCGUAAAACUGUCGCCCCUAAGGUUGCUCAGGGGACCGACC
This is a non-coding RNA of Pelobates cultripes (western spadefoot toad), 576 nucleotides long. The record is from the annotation of a GenBank genome assembly. Lineage: Eukaryota; Metazoa; Chordata; Amphibia; Anura; Pelobatidae.